GUGCCAGCAGCCGCGGUAAUACGUAGGGUGCGAGCGUUGCCCGGAAUUAUUGGGCGUAAAGAGCUCGUAGGCGGUUUGUCGCGUCGGCCGUGAAAACCUGCCGCUUAACGGUGGGCGUGCGGUCGAUACGGGCAGACUUGAGUUCGGUAGGGGAGACUGGAAUUCCUGGUGUAGCGGUGAAAUGCGCAGAUAUCAGGAGGAACACCGGUGGCGAAGGCGGGUCUCUGGGCCGAUACUGACGCUGAGGAGCGAAAGCGUGGGGAGCGAACAGGAUUAGGUACCCUGGUAGUCC
This 292-nucleotide ribosomal RNA is filed under the name uncultured microorganism. Its description in RNAcentral is "partial 16S ribosomal RNA". It matches the Rfam family "Bacterial small subunit ribosomal RNA", at positions 505 to 796 of the family's 1533-position model. The record is from RNAcentral.